ACUGAAAUGAUCAGAGGGUUUUGACUUUCUUUUCUCGAAAGCCAGCUGCACCAAUUGGUCAUCGAUGGAUACCAGCAGCACCGCCCGUGGAACCGCCAUCGUAGCCUCUUUGUCUUCACCGUGCCGCUCAAACGGCUGGAAGUACGAGGUGUUUCUGAGCUUUAGAGGCGACGACACAUGCACUAACCACACAGACAACCUCUCCUUUGCGUUACGCUAUGCCGAAAUCCACACGCUCAUAGACUACUAGCUCAGAAGAGGGGAAAACAUACAGAGUGAACUUGACCGAUAAAUCGAAGGGUCCAUAAUCGCCAUCGUCGUCUUCUCCAAGGGGUACGCGGAGUCCCAGUGGUGCUUGAGGGAGCUGGCCAAGAUCAUGAGGUGCCGAGAAGAUCAAGAGGGCAAAAUAGUCUAUCCAAUAUUCUAUGCCGUCGAGAGGAAACAAAGUGGUGGUUUUGGGGAAGUUCGGAAGCAUGAAAGCGAUGAAAAUCCAAACGAACAAGCAGCAGAGAAGGAUCUUAAGGCUUCGUUCCGGCGGACGGUAUAGGUGAAACAACACUUGCGAGAGCUAUGUGUAGCGAAUAUCAUCAUUGCUUUAGUGGUCAAUGUUACCUUGAAAAGGAGAGGAGUAAAAAAGAAAAGUAUCGUUGCUCUGCAAGAACAACUUCUUCGAGAUGUUUUGAAACGGCUGGACAUUAAUGUGAGCAGUGUUGCCCAAGAACCAAAGAGAUAGAGAAAAGACUUGGAAGCAUGAAGGUGCUUGUCGUCGUUCUGGCAUAGAUGAUGCUGGCCAAUUAGAUGAAUUGGCGAUAAAACAUGAAUCGACUACGUUUGUUAAGAUUCAGCCCACCCAAAUCUGCAGAAGCAUUAAGUGCUCAACCUCAUUUGGAUCUUCAUCCCUUUCAUGCUUCCAAUAUGCAUUUCCAAUAAUAACACUAUUUCCUCAAAGGGUCGACAUCGUACAAUAUUGGAUGGACUACUUUCCCCUCUUGAUCUUCUUGGCACCUCAUGAUCUUGGCCAGCUCCCUCAGGCACCAUCCAGACUUCGUGUACCUCUUUGAGAAGACAGACGACGGCCCUUUGAUUUCUUGGUCAAGUUCACCCUGUAUGUUUUCCCCUCUUCUGAGCUGGUAGUCUAUGAGCGUGUGGAUUCCGGCAUUGUGUACCGUAAUGGAGAGGUGGUCAGUGAAGGUAGUGCGUGUGUCGUCGCCUCUAAAGCCCAGAAACACCUCUUACUUCCAGGGGUUUGAGCGGCACGGUGAAGACGAAGAGGCUGCGAUGGCGGUUCCACGGGCGGUGCUGCUGGUAUCCAUCGAUAAUUAGUACUAGUGUUGAGAGACUAAAGGGAGUGCAGCAGGCUGUGCGGCUUGGCUUUCAGAUAGCCAAAGUCAAGUCAAAUGUCAUCGCCUAAGUAUUAUAGAGAAACGAAAUGCGUGGAGGGAUAUGAAUAUACAUGUAUAUGGCAUUGCAUAUAUUUAUGACAAAAUAUGGUAACACUUACUUUUUUACGUGUGACGUAAAAUAUAUGAAAUACUUACAUUGCCUUA
This is a non-coding RNA of Malus domestica (apple), 1547 nucleotides long. The record is from RefSeq and is a predicted model, not a curated record. NCBI's taxonomy places the organism in Eukaryota, Viridiplantae, Streptophyta, Magnoliopsida, Rosales, Rosaceae.